RNAcentral lists this ribosomal RNA (506 nucleotides) under uncultured Glomus. RNAcentral describes it as "SSU rRNA". It matches the Rfam family "Eukaryotic small subunit ribosomal RNA", at positions 569 to 1078 of the family's 1831-position model. The record is from RNAcentral. Lineage: Eukaryota; Fungi; Glomeromycota; Glomeromycetes; Glomerales; Glomeraceae.
AGCAGCCGCGGUAAUUCCAGCUCCAAUAGCGUAUAUUAAAGUUGUUGCAGUUAAAAAGCUCGUAGUUGAAUUUCGGGAUUAGUACGUUGGUCGUGCCUUCGGUACGUACUGGUGUUACUGNUUCCUACCUUCUGACGAACCAUCAUGUCAUUAAUUUGGUGUGGCGGGGAAUCAGGACUGUUACUUUGAAAAAAUUAGAGUGUUUAAAGCAGGCUCGCGCUUGAAUACAUUAGCAUGGAAUAAUGAAAUAGGACGUUGACCCUAUUUUGUUGGUUUCUAGGAUUGACGUAAUGAUUAAUAGGGAUAGUUGGGGGCAUUAGUAUUCAAUUGUCAGAGGUGAAAUUCUUGGAUUUAUUGAAGACUAACUACUGCGAAAGCAUUUGCCAAGGAUGUUUUCAUUAAUCAAGAACGAAAGUUAGGGGAUCGAAGACGAUCAGAUACCGUCGUAGUCUUAACCAUAAACUAUGCCCGACUAGGGAUCGGAUGAUGUUAUUUUUAAUGACUCA